Molecule: RNA transcript, 822 nt
Organism: Hevea brasiliensis (rubber tree)
Lineage: Eukaryota; Viridiplantae; Streptophyta; Magnoliopsida; Malpighiales; Euphorbiaceae
Exons: 7
Source: RefSeq, a predicted model, not a curated record
AUGGACCAAGAUGAAGCUAAAAGCAAAGAGAAUCACCCUUCCUCUUCACGGGACUCCAAUCCAUGACCCAUCUGCCUUGGUCCCUUCCUUCAAGAAUCCUAUCUUGAUUCCUGUUUCCAUAAAUUUUGUUAUAGUUGCAUUUUGAAUUGGACUAAAGUAGUUGCUGGUAAGCAUUCUCAUGCACCUUCUUCUGUAAAAUGUCCUUUGUGCAAGACAGAAAACCGUUUAAUAAUUUAUGGAUACGAUGGAAGUUCAUUCCAAAGGCAAUAUAUAAUUAACAGUUUUGAGCUUAUUUCUUUCUUUUCAAAAGCUCACAAGUAUAGAUUAAAAUGCUAUUAUGCUGAACCAGGUAUAUUGAGCAAUAUAGUUAACGUAUUGCGAUAUUGGAAGUCCUGUAAGUAUCUUCAACCAAAUCGGUGGCUGCAAAGUUGGUUGAGAAGAGAAAUUCAGGCUCUUUUGCAGGAAGAGGAUGUUGAAAUUAUUAUACACCAUAUACUUGGUGUGGUUGAUUCAUUCUUGAGAAGGGGUGAUCAAUCUCAUCAAAUGAGAACACCUGAAACAAAACAAAGAGAGUUCAAGAAUCUAGUCUCUAAUGCAGCAAGGCCCUUUCUAGCAGCAAGAACCAAACGAUUCGUUAAUGAGUUGGAAUUGUUUCUUGCUUUAGGUUUCCACAUUGAAGCCUAUGAUGAAGCAUACAUGUAGCAGUUGGGUUGGAACACUCCUAGAUUGACUGGUGAGGCUGCAGAUGUAGAACAUAGUGAACACACACCAAUAGUCCCAUACUUGUAUAUUUUUUACGACGACUCUAAUGAAACUGAUUAA